CCUCAGGUCACUUAGGGGAAGAGCAGUCUCAUCAUCUUUAACUUCUUAGCAGUACUUGACACUGUCAACUACUAACCAAUUAUCAAAUCACUCUCUUCCUUUGGCCCCUAUGAGACCAUGCACUCUAAGUUUCCUACCACCCCUGUGGCCUCAGACUCCUGUCCUGAUCCCUUCUUCUCAAGCCACUUCUGAAUGUUGGGGCUCCUCAGGGCUCUGUCCUGAGCUCAAUCUGUUCCUCGUGCUCUGUUUUGUCAUUCCAGGAUGAUCACAUUUACAUAGGCUGCUGAUUCAAAUAUAUAUCUCUAAUCUAGUCUCCUUGCAGAGCUCCAGGGUCUUGCUCUGUCAACCAGGUUGGAAUAUAGUGGCAUGAUCAUAAAUCACCGUAACCUCAAACUUCUGGACUCAAACAAUCCUCCUGCCUCAGCGUCUGGAGUAGAGGGGACUACAGGUGCAUGCCACCACACCCAG
Molecule: long non-coding RNA, 468 nt
Filed under: Homo sapiens (human)
Lineage: Eukaryota; Metazoa; Chordata; Mammalia; Primates; Hominidae
Description: HSALNT0211823
Source: RNAcentral